AUUGAACGCUGGCGGCAUGCCUUACACAUGCAAGUCGAACGGCAGCAUGGAGGAGCUUGCUCCUCUGAUGGCGAGUGGCGAACGGGUGAGUAAAGCAUCGGAACGUACCGUGUAGUGGGGGAUAACGUAGCGAAAGUUACGCUAAUACCGCAUACGCACUGAGGUGGAAAGCAGGGGAUCGCAAGACCUUGCGCUAUACGAGCGGCCGAUGUCAGAUUAGCUAGUUGGUAGGGUAAAGGCCUACCAAGGCGACGAUCUGUAGCGGGUCUGAGAGGAUGAUCCGCCACACUGGGACUGAGACACGGCCCAGACUCCUACGGGAGGCAGCAGUGGGGAAUUUUGGACAAUGGGGGAAACCCUGAUCCAGCCAUGCCGCGUGAGUGAAGAAGGCCUCGGUUGUAAGCUCUUCGGUCUGGGAAGGAAUACGCACAGGCGUAAUAACUCUGUGUGGAUGACGGUACCAGCAUAAGAAGACACCGGACG
This 483-nucleotide ribosomal RNA is filed under the name uncultured bacterium. RNAcentral's name for it is "bacterial SSU rRNA". It matches the Rfam family "Bacterial small subunit ribosomal RNA", at positions 30 to 499 of the family's 1533-position model. The record is from RNAcentral.